AAGAUCCGUAGUCAAAAGGGAAACAGCCCAGACCACCAGCUAAGGUCCCAAAGUAAUCGUUAAGUGGAAAAGGAUGUGGCGUUGCACAGACAACCAGGAUGUUGGCUUAGAAGCAGCCAUCAUUUAAAGAGUGCGUAAUAGCUCACUGGUCGAGUGACGCUGCGCCGAAAAUGUAUCGGGGCUAAACGAUUCACCGAAGCUGUGGAUUGACAUCUACGAUGUCAGUGGUAGGAGAGCGUUCUAAGUGCGUUGAAGUCAGACCGGAAGGACUGGUGGAGCGCUUAGAAGUGAGAAUGCCGGUAUGAGUAGCGAAAGAUGGGUGAGAAUCCCAUCCACCGAAUGCCUAAGGUUUCCUGAGGAAGGCUCGUCCGCUCAGGGUUAGUCGGGACCUAAGCCGAGGCCGAUAGGCGUAGGCGAUGGACAACAGGUUGAUAUUCCUGUACCACCUCCUCACCAUUUGAGUAAUGGGGGGACGCAGUAGGAUAGGGUAAGCGCGCCGUUGGUUAUGCGCGUCUAAGCAGUAAGGUGUGAGUGUAGGCAAAUCCGCACUCUUUAACGUUGAGCUGUGAUAGCGAAGCUCUUCGAGCGAAGUUCCUGAUUUCACACUGCCAAGAAAAGCCUCUAUCGAGGUGAGAGGUGCCCGUACCGCAAACCGACACAGGUAGUCGAGGAGAGAAUCCUAAGGUGUGCGAGAGAACUCUCGUUAAGGAACUCGGCAAAAUGACCCCGUAACUUCGGGAGAAGGGGUGCUCUUGAGCGUGCAAGCGCAUGAGAGCCGCAGUGAAUAGGCCCAGGCGACUGUUUAGCAAAAACACAGGUCUCUGCAAAACCGUAAGGUGACGUAUAGGGGCUGACGCCUGCCCGGUGCUGGAAGGUUAAGAGGAGUGGUUAGCGCAAGCGAAGCUGCGAAUUGAAGCCCCAGUAAACGGCGGCCGUAACUAUAACGGUCCUAAGGUAGCGAAAUUCCUUGUCGGGUAAGUUCCGACCCGCACGAAAGGCGUAACGAUCUGGGCACUGUCUCAACGAGAGACUCGGUGAAAUUAUAGUACCUGUGAAGAUGCAGGUUACCCGCGACAGGACGGAAAGACCCCGUGGAGCUUUACUGUAGCCUGAUAUUGAAUUUUGGUACAACUUGUACAGGAUAGGUAGGAGCCAGAGAUCUCGGAGCGCCAGCUUCGAAGGAGGCGUCGGUGGGAUACUACCCUGGUUGUAUUGAAAUUCUAACCCAUGCCCCUUAGCGGGGCAGGAGACAGUGUCAGGCGGACAGUUUGACUGGGGCGGUCGCCUCCUAAAAGGUAACGGAGGCGCCCAAAGGUUCCCUCAGAAUGGUUGGAAAUCAUUCGUAGAGUG
Molecule: ribosomal RNA, 1350 nt
Filed under: fermentation metagenome
Description: bacterial LSU rRNA
Rfam family: Bacterial large subunit ribosomal RNA
Source: RNAcentral